GAAGGUAUAGCUCAGUGGUAGAGCACAUGCUUAGCAUGCACAAGGUCCUGGGUUCAAUCCCCAGUCCCUCCA
Molecule: transfer RNA, 72 nt
Filed under: Camelus bactrianus (Bactrian camel)
Lineage: Eukaryota; Metazoa; Chordata; Mammalia; Artiodactyla; Camelidae
Also listed under: 2 other names
Rfam family: tRNA
About the family: Transfer RNA (tRNA) molecules are approximately 80 nucleotides in length. Their secondary structure includes four short double-helical elements and three loops (D, anti-codon, and T loops). Further hydrogen bonds mediate the characteristic L-shaped molecular structure. tRNAs have two regions of fundamental functional importance: the anti-codon, which is responsible for specific mRNA codon recognition, and the 3' end, to which the tRNAs corresponding amino acid is attached (by aminoacyl-tRNA synthetases). tRNAs cope with the degeneracy of the genetic code in two manners: having more than one tRNA (with a specific anti-codon) for a particular amino acid; and 'wobble' base-pairing, i.e. permitting non-standard base-pairing at the 3rd anti-codon position.
Source: Rfam by way of RNAcentral